RNAcentral lists this ribosomal RNA (552 nucleotides) under Xylaria laevis. RNAcentral's name for it is "eukaryotic LSU rRNA". The stretch from base 195 to 348 matches the Rfam family "5.8S ribosomal RNA". The record is from RNAcentral. Lineage: Eukaryota; Fungi; Ascomycota; Sordariomycetes; Xylariales; Xylariaceae.
CCUGCGGAGGGAUCAUUAAAGAGUUCUAUAACUCCCAAACCCAUGUGAACAUACCAUACGUUGCCUCGGCAGGUCGCGCCUACCCCGUAGCGUCCUACCCUAUAGGACCUACCCGGUAGACGCGGGUAAGCCUGCCGGCGGCCCAAGAAACUCUGUUUAGUAUUGAAUUCUGAACCUAUAACUAAAUAAGUUAAAACUUUCAACAACGGAUCUCUUGGUUCUGGCAUCGAUGAAGAACGCAGCGAAAUGCGAUAAGUAAUGUGAAUUGCAGAAUUCAGUGAAUCAUCGAAUCUUUGAACGCACAUUGCGCCCAUUAGUAUUCUAGUGGGCAUGCCUGUUCGAGCGUCAUUUCAACCCUUAAGCCCUCGUUGCUUAGUGUUGGGAGCCUACGGUACCCGUAGCUCCUCAAAGUUAGUGGCGGAGUCGGUUCACACUCUAGACGUAGUAAUUUUAUCUCGCCUAUCAGUUGGACCGGUCCCCUGCCGUAAAACACCCCAAUUUCUAAAGGUUGACCUCGGAUCAGGUAGGAAUACCCGCUGAACUUAAGCAUAU